Molecule: ribosomal RNA, 435 nt
Filed under: uncultured bacterium
Lineage: Bacteria
Description: partial 16S ribosomal RNA
Rfam family: Bacterial small subunit ribosomal RNA
Source: RNAcentral
GAUGAACGCUGGCGGUAUGCUUAACACAUGCAAGUCGAACGGACUCUUCGGAGUUAGUGGCGGACGGGUGAGUAACGCGUGAGAAUCUGGCUUUGGGUUCGGGACAACCACUGGAAACGGUGGCUAAUACCGGAUGUGCCGAGAGGUAAAAGAGAAAUUGCCUGAAGAUGAGCUCGCGUCUGAUUAGCUAAUUGGUGAGGUAAAGGCUCACCAAGGCAGCGAUCAGUAGCUGGUCUGAGAGGAUGACCAGCCACACUGGGACUGAGACACGGCCCAGACUCCUACGGGAGGCAGCAGUGGGGAAUUUUCCGCAAUGGGCGAAAGCCUGACGGAGCAAUACCGCGUGAGGGAAGAAGGCUCUUGGGUUGUAAACCUCUUUUCUUAGGGAAGAACAAAAUGACGGUACCUAAGGAAUCAGCAUCGGCUAACUCCGUG